GAUGAGUAUGAAAGGUUUUCUGGAACCUACGUGAAUAACCGGAUACGGACGACCAAGUACACACUUCUGAACUUUGUGCCAAGAAACUUAUUUGAACAGUUUCACAGGUACUGUGGUCCUUUCAGAGGAAGUCAAGUCUCAGAAUGUUCCUCAUCCUUCUACUUGAUACUCCCGCCGAAUCCCCAUUUUCUUAUAUAUCAGCUUAAUGCAUGUAAUCAUACAAGGCAAGUUAGAGUCAGGUCUAGGCUGGAGCGAGGGUGCCUUAGGGUCACACAGUUCUGUACAGUUGGAAGGACGUCUUCUGUUUGUGAAGGAUGCUGUUAUCUAUUUCAUUCUCAUAUAGGAACCCGGUCUGUGGCUCUGCCAAUGCCACACCCGUAAUAAAUGGCGGAGCAGAUGCUAU
RNAcentral lists this long non-coding RNA (403 nucleotides) under Rattus norvegicus (Norway rat). RNAcentral describes it as "long non-coding RNA NONRATT009865". Lineage: Eukaryota; Metazoa; Chordata; Mammalia; Rodentia; Muridae. The record is from RNAcentral.